GCUUACGGCCAUACCACCCUGAGCACGCCCGAUCUCGUCUGAUCUCGGAGGCUAAACAGGGUCGGGCCUGGUUAGUACUGGGAUGGGAGACCGCCUGGGAAUACCAGGUGCUGCAAGCU
RNAcentral lists this ribosomal RNA (119 nucleotides) under Betta splendens (Siamese fighting fish). Lineage: Eukaryota; Metazoa; Chordata; Actinopteri; Anabantiformes; Osphronemidae. The record is from RNAcentral.